This 1043-nucleotide ribosomal RNA is filed under the name Escherichia coli. RNAcentral describes it as "partial 23S ribosomal RNA". It matches the Rfam family "Bacterial large subunit ribosomal RNA", at positions 154 to 1238 of the family's 2925-position model. Lineage: Bacteria; Pseudomonadati; Pseudomonadota; Gammaproteobacteria; Enterobacterales; Enterobacteriaceae. The record is from RNAcentral.
UUAACUGAAUCCAUAGGUUAAUGAGGCGAACCGGGGGAACUGAAACAUCUAAGUACCCCGAGGAAAAGAAAUCAACCGAGAUUCCCCCAGUAGCGGCGAGCGAACGGGGAGGAGCCCAGAGCCUGAAUCAGUGUGUGUGUUAGUGGAAGCGUCUGGAAAGGCGCGCGAUACAGGGUGACAGCCCCGUACACAAAAAUGCACAUAUUGUGAGCUCGAUGAGUAGGGCGGGACACGUGGUAUCCUGUCUGAAUAUGGGGGGACCAUCCUCCAAGGCUAAAUACUCCUGACUGACCGAUAGUGAACCAGUACCGUGAGGGAAAGGCGAAAAGAACCCCGGCGAGGGGAGUGAAAAAGAACCUGAAACCGUGUACGUACAAGCAGUGGGAGCCUCUUAAUGGGGUGACUGCGUACCUUUUGUAUAAUGGGUCAGCGACUUAUAUUCUGUAGCAAGGUUAACCGAAUAGGGGAGCCGAAGGGAAACCGAGUCUUAACUGGGCGUUAAGUUGCAGGGUAUAGACCCGAAACCCGGUGAUCUAGCCAUGGGCAGGUUGAAGGUUGGGUAACACUAACUGGAGGACCGAACCGACUAAUGUUGAAAAAUUAGCGGAUGACUUGUGGCUGGGGGUGAAAGGCCAAUCAAACCGGGAGAUAGCUGGUUCUCCCCGAAAGCUAUUUAGGUAGCGCCUCGUGAAUUCAUCUCCGGGGGUAGAGCACUGUUUCGGCAAGGGGGUCAUCCCGACUUACCAACCCGAUGCAAACUGCGAAUACCGGAGAAUGUUAUCACGGGAGACACACGGCGGGUGCUAACGUCCGUCGUGAAGAGGGAAACAACCCAGACCGCCAGCUAAGGUCCCAAAGUCAUGGUUAAGUGGGAAACGAUGUGGGAAGGCCCAGACAGCCAGGAUGUUGGCUUAGAAGCAGCCAUCAUUUAAAGAAAGCGUAAUAGCUCACUGGUCGAGUCGGCCUGCGCGGAAGAUGUAACGGGGCUAAACCAUGCACCGAAGCUGCGGCAGCGACACUAUGUGUUGUUGGGUAGGGGAGCG